RNAcentral lists this ribosomal RNA (496 nucleotides) under uncultured bacterium. RNAcentral's name for it is "partial 16S ribosomal RNA". It matches the Rfam family "Bacterial small subunit ribosomal RNA", at positions 29 to 523 of the family's 1533-position model. The record is from RNAcentral.
AUUGAACGCUGGCGGCAUGCUUUACACAUGCAAGUCGAACGGUAGAGGGGGCAACCCCUUGAGAGUGGCGAACGGGUGAGUAAUGCAUCGGAACGUGCCCAGUCGUGGGGGAUAACGCAGCGAAAGCUGUGCUAAUACCGCAUACGAUCUCUGGAUGAAAGCGGGGGACCGAAAGGCCUCGCGCGAUUGGAGCGGCCGAUGUCAGAUUAGGUAGUUGGUGGGGUAAAGGCUCACCAAGCCAACUAUCUGUAGCUGGUCUGAGAGGACGACCAGCCACACUGGGACUGAGACACGUGCCAGACUCAUACGGAAGGAAGCAGUGGGGAAUUUUGCACAAGGGGCGAAAGCCUGAUCCAGCAAUGCCGCGUGCAGGAAGAGGGCCUUCGGGCUGUAAACUGCUUUCGUACGGGACGAAAAGGUCUGGGUUAAUACCCUGGGCACAUGACGGUACCGUAAGAAUAAGCACCGGCUAACUACGUGCCAGCAGCCGCCGUAA